This 962-nucleotide long non-coding RNA is filed under the name Mustela putorius furo (domestic ferret). RNAcentral describes it as "lncRNA (ENSMPUG00000024095.1)". The record is from RNAcentral. Lineage: Eukaryota; Metazoa; Chordata; Mammalia; Carnivora; Mustelidae.
CUCGCUUUGGCCUGGGCUGAGUGUCUCUUCCCCACAGAGCUCUCCUGACCUUGGCAGAGGAAGUUCGGGCAGGGAUUUGAACAAUUUAACCAGGAAUGAAAUAGCACAAUCCCUGCCUGAGAAAGAAAAACAAAACUCAAGAUGACACCACCCUCCAAAAUAAAACAACCCCCUGCUGGCACCCUUUCCCAGCGCUGGGACUAAGAGGGGACCAUGGAGUGAGUUACUGAAGUGCCCGUCACCUGCUUGGAGGUUCCAGGAGGGGGUGGCUGCUGCUGGAGGAAGCAGGCAGGAGGACUCCGUGUCCCCCACUCUCCACCCAGCACCCCCAAGCUUUGCUACUGCUCAUGGUUCUCAUUCCCGAGAAGUCUCCCGCUUAGGGAGGUCCUGAUGGAUGCUGAGCACUUGGUCAUGACUCCAUCUCCCAAGCUACGAAGAGGUCUGGAAUCGGGACUCAGACAGGGAGCAGCAAAGGGAAUUCCCUGGCUGACAGCUUUCUAAAUGCCCCUUUCCUUAUUGAGCCAGGAGACACAAUGUUGGGCCAGUCUGUGCCCAGGCUGGGGAAAGGGUGAUGUGGGCAGUGUCUUGUCUUAGUCUUUGAACCAUACCCUCCCCAACGUAGUUGAGAGUAGUGACCCAGGUCAAAAAAAUCACUCCUCCUACCCUUUCAGUUAGAGAGAGAAACCACUUUCUGCUACUGCCUCACAUCUUCAUUCAUACUUUGACUAUGGCUUUCAACUCACUGAUAGUCAUCUCUGUCUGCCUCUACCAGCCAAUGUGCUGAAUGAAAGUUCACAACCAGCUCUUCAGAAAAAAUGUAAGCACACCUACACAUAACUAGGUUUAUUAUACUGCACUGGUAUAAAGGAUGUGUAUCAAACACACACUUAUUAUCACAUAAAAAUAACACACAGUAUCCUUUCUUAUGCAUUUCAUAUGGUCAUUGACUCUCACAGAUUGCU